GAUGAACGCUGGCGGCGUGCUUAACACAUGCAAGUCGAACGGGAAACUUUUCAUUGAAGCUUCGGCAGAUUUGGUCUGUUUCUAGUGGCGGACGGGUGAGUAACGCGUGGGUAACCUGCCUUAUACAGGGGGAUAACAACCAGAAAUGGUUGCUAAUACCGCAUAAGCGCACAGGACCGCAUGGUCCGGUGUGAAAAACUCCGGUGGUAUAAGAUGGACCCGCGUUGGAUUAGCUAGUUGGCAGGGUAACGGCCUACCAAGGCGACGAUCCAUAGCCGGCCUGAGAGGGUGAACGGCCACAUUGGGACUGAGACACGGCCCAGACUCCUACGGGAGGCAGCAGUGGGGAAUAUUGCACAAUGGGGGAAACCCUGAUGCAGCGACGCCGCGUGAAGGAAGAAGUAUCUCGGUAUGUAAACUUCUAUCAGCAGGGAAGAUAGUGAC
This 444-nucleotide ribosomal RNA is filed under the name uncultured bacterium. Its description in RNAcentral is "bacterial SSU rRNA". It matches the Rfam family "Bacterial small subunit ribosomal RNA", at positions 28 to 455 of the family's 1533-position model. The record is from RNAcentral.